CCGAACGCGAAGGUCCAGCCAGUGCCGCCGUUAACGGCAGGACUGAGCUAGCGCCAGCUAUAAAAACACAGUGGCCAAAAACAGACAACUGACUUCGCCAUGGCCUCAAACGCUGACGUUAACAACUCUCCGUUAGCCAGAUUACUGUUCGUUAACACCGACCAGCCGAACACAUGAAGACGACGCCAGUGGAAGCACCUGCUUGUGUUGUUGACCGUUUAACCUCCAGCCAUGCUGCCUGCUCCUGACAAAUUGACUGCGCUUACAGCUGGUUUACAACCUCGAUUUGGCCGUAACGUUAACGGCUGGCUGUCUUUCAGUACCCUAACAUUGUGUAAGAGUUACGUUACCGUUUUCUCCGCUUUCUUAUAGGACUUUUAAUUUGCUGCUUCACGCUAGCUUCACCGCGGUGUGUAACGAUCAUAAUAAUUUCAAAUACCAGCACAUUUAAGUUAACUAACGUAUCUGUGUCAAAGCUGAACGUAUAAGCAUUGUUAAGCUGUCUGGACUCUUAACGAUAUAGAAAUAAGAAUACCCUACACUUCCGGCUGCAAUCUUCAGAAUAAAAGCAUAAUCUCUACGUGCCUACGCCACUCAGGGACACAGUAAAGGGAGCGUCGAUAGCCCACAGGUUGAUUAUCGCACAUUCGCAUGUUGUUUUCCCAGAUAGAAACUCCAGCACACUCGUGCAAAGAUAAUCUUGCUAUGCUGCAUAAUGUAAUUCACUCAAUGAUUUCUUCAAAAUAGGCGUCUGUCCAGUGCUGGAUUGGAAAGCACCUCUUCGAAUUGAAGCACGCAUUAGUUUUAGUCUUCUAGCCUAGAGCAAGCUGAAACAGCAGCCAUGCAUUGAAAAAAACGAGAAAAGUAAUGAUAAAAAAUACAGUGACCUUUUGAGAGUCUGAACUCAUGACUUGACAACAAAGCUCUAGCUUGCUUAAAUAAAAUUCCACAUCACUUACUUCACACACGACCUCACCCCAGCCUCUUAAAAGUUUUAUGACCAAACACUUUGCUCUCAUUGGUGCUCCUGUGAAAAAGCAGUUUGACUUGGAGCCACAUCAGGACACUUAAGGUUGUUUGUGUAUGGCCCCCAGCCCAGAUACAUCUGACAAAGCAGUUUGUCGUCUGUGGCUUCCUGUAUGAGGGUGACCUCACAGGCCUGUCUGAAGAGACCCUCGGUGCCCAUCGGACCCAUGGCGUGGACCAUAUUCUGGGUCAGACGGAAGGGAACCACCUCAGGCACAUCAAAUGUCUCCCCCUAGUGAAUAGGGAAAGAAGGAGAACAAGAGAAAUCCGGCGAAAAGGGAGACGUGAAACACAAUUUGAGACAAACACAAACCUUGUUGAAGAGGCAGUUGAAGUCGACAUGAACACAUUCCCCAGUGAAAGAGUCAAAGAGGAUGUUUUCUCCGUGACGAUCUCCCAGACCCAGGAUGUAGCCCACCAUGGACAUCACAGCAGUGGAGCGGCAGUACGCAGAGCGACUGCUGUACCUCAAUCCAGGUAUGCCCAGUGUCCAGGGAAGGCGUCAUGCUGUGUGUUUGCCCCGCCAGUAGAGGGCAGCGUAGGGAUGAGGACCGACUGCAGUGGGAUCAGGAUCUGGCUGAAGGUCGGCUCUUCCACCAGGCGUUUUAGCUGCUUGAAAUGAACGCUCAUACUGAGCGUGGUGCUGUUACCAUCCACCUGAAAGACACAUUCAAUCAAACAUGUAUCUGAUGCUGCCUUUAUUUAUUUUCUUUUUAUGUGUCCCUCUUUUACUGGCUACUGCAAGCACCUGAAGGGGAUCAAUAAAUGUUUUGAUCUGAUCUAAUCAUGCCUACCAAUAAAAUGUGGUGGUCCAGAUUCACUAUUAAAGGGUUUCAAGAUUUUAUAGGGAGCUUUUGAAUUACGUGGACAACUAUAUUUUAUGUUGUGGCUCCACACUUCAUUGAAACUAAUU
Micropterus dolomieu (smallmouth bass) is the source of this 1939-nucleotide long non-coding RNA. RefSeq lists it as uncharacterized. The transcript is spliced from 6 exons. The record is from RefSeq and is a predicted model, not a curated record. NCBI's taxonomy places the organism in Eukaryota, Metazoa, Chordata, Actinopteri, Centrarchiformes, Centrarchidae.